UACACUCCUACGGGAGGCAGCAGUGGGGAAUUUUACGCAAUGGGGGAAACCCUGACGUAGCGACACCGCGUGAGCGAAGAAGCCCUUUGGGGUGUAAAGCUCUGUCAGCUGGAACGAAAACAAUGACGGUACCAGCAGAGGAAGCAUCGGCUAACUACGUGCCAGCAGCCGCGGUAAGACGUAGGAUGCGAGCGUUGUCCGGAUUUAUUGGGCGUAAAGAGUUCGUAGGUGGUUUGUUAAGUUUGGUGUUAAAGAUCGGGGCUCAACCCUGGGACUGCACUGAAUACUGGCAGACUCGAGUGUGGUAGAGGCUAGUGGAAUUCCCAGUGUAGCGGUGAAAUGCGUAGAUAUUGGGAAGAACACCGGUGGCGUAGGCGACUAGCUAGGCCAUAACUGACGCUGAGGAACGAAAGCCAGGGGAGCGAAUGGGAUUAGAUACCCCGGUAGUCCC
Molecule: ribosomal RNA, 451 nt
Filed under: uncultured organism
Description: partial 16S ribosomal RNA
Rfam family: Bacterial small subunit ribosomal RNA
Source: RNAcentral